GACGAACGCUGGCGGCGUGCUUAACACAUGCAAGUCGAACGGAAAGGCCCUGCUUUUGUGGGGUGCUCGAGUGGCGAACGGGUGAGUAACACGUGAGUAACCUGCCCUUGACUUUGGGAUAACUUCAGGAAACUGGGGCUAAUACCGGAUAGGAGCUCCUGCUGCAUGGUGGGGGUUGGAAAGUUUCGGCGGUUGGGGAUGGACUCGCGGCUUAUCAGCUUGUUGGUGGGGUAGUGGCUUACCAAGGCUUUGACGGGUAGCCGGCCUGAGAGGGUGACCGGCGACAUGGGGACUGAGAUACGGCCCAGACGCCUACGGGAGGCAGCAGGGGGGAAUAUUGCACAAUGGGCGGAAGCCUGAUGCAGAAACGCCGCGUGCGGGAUGACGGCCUUCGGGUUGUAAACCGCUUUCGCCUGUGACGAAGCGUGAGUGACGGUAAUGGGUAAAGAAGCACCGGCUAACUACGUG
This 468-nucleotide ribosomal RNA is filed under the name uncultured bacterium. RNAcentral's name for it is "partial 16S ribosomal RNA". It matches the Rfam family "Bacterial small subunit ribosomal RNA", at positions 28 to 507 of the family's 1533-position model. The record is from RNAcentral.